This is a long non-coding RNA of Cyprinodon tularosa, 223 nucleotides long. RefSeq lists it as uncharacterized. NCBI's taxonomy places the organism in Eukaryota, Metazoa, Chordata, Actinopteri, Cyprinodontiformes, Cyprinodontidae. The transcript has 2 exons. The record is from RefSeq and is a predicted model, not a curated record.
GCUGGUUUAUGAUAAUACGCCCUAUUCAGAGGAGCUGGUAAUACUGGUUGGGCUGCUGGUAAAUCCCUUUAGUGCUGACGCUACAAGCAAUGAGUGACUGUAUUGUUCAACACUGAAGUGAUGACUUCCUGUUGCUGAUGUAACUCCUUCCUUCACCAUCAGCAGGAUGGUGUCUGCCAUUACAGAAAACUCCAGCGGUCCUUUAAAAAAAUGAACCUCCAAG